This 497-nucleotide ribosomal RNA is filed under the name uncultured bacterium. Its description in RNAcentral is "bacterial SSU rRNA". It matches the Rfam family "Bacterial small subunit ribosomal RNA", at positions 29 to 520 of the family's 1533-position model. The record is from RNAcentral.
AGCGAACGUUUGCGGCGGGCUUAACACAUGCAAGUCGAACGAGAAUCCCUUCGGGGAGGAAAGUGGCGCACGGGUGCGUAACACGUGGAUAACCAACCCAUUGGUUUGGGACAACACCGGGAAACUGGUGCUAAUACCAGAUGUGUCGCAGCUGUCUUCAGGCGGUUGCGAGAAAGGCCCGCAAGGGUCGCCAACGGACGGGUCUGCGUCCCAUCAGCUAGUUGGUGAGGUAAUGGCUCACCAAGGCAAAGACGGGUAGCUGGUCUGAGAGGAUGAUCAGCCACACUGGAACUGAGACACGGUCCAGACUCCUACGGGAGGCAGCAGUGGGGAAUAUUGCGCAAUGGGCGAAAGCCUGACGCAGCCACGCCGCGUGAGCGAUGAAGGUCUUCGGAUCGUAAAGCUCUGUGGGGGGAGAAGAAGAAAGCCGGUGAAGAGCCGGCCCUGACGGUAUCCCCUUAGCAAGCACCGGCUAACUCCGUGCCAGCAGCCGACGG